Molecule: long non-coding RNA, 4893 nt
Organism: Dinoponera quadriceps
Lineage: Eukaryota; Metazoa; Arthropoda; Insecta; Hymenoptera; Formicidae
Exons: 4
Source: RefSeq, a predicted model, not a curated record
GCCACUCCGUCAGUCGUCUCCGAACGGUGUGGUCUGGAUCUCGCUAGUGUCCUCGAACCACUCGGCACGUAGUUGCACCAAUAGACGGGCAACAGACGCGAGCGAGAUAAAGUCUUACCGUUUGAGAUGGCUACGGAGGCUGGUGAAGCAACAGAAGGGGCCUUACGAAAUGGGAAAUUAAGCAGAAAAUGUAGCUGUGAUAUUUAUAGAAGCCAAAUACUCUGACGCGGCGCUGAUAAUCUGCUUGUCUUUCACCGGUGUGUCUGGCACAUACACACUCUAGAAAAUACACCCUAUUGCGAGGGCCGCCAAUCGAGGGGACGACGACGACGUCGUCGUAAUCGUCGUCAGCUUAGAAAACGUGUACCUAUAAGAUUGCGGUGAGAUUGCGUGAGCGAGAGAGGUAGAGGAGGACGAAAAGAUAGAAUGAUAGAGGGAGUAUAUUUGCGAGUUUCGACGGAGAAAGCUGCGAGUGGGAGGGAGAAAGUCUUUGUUUCUAGAGGUUGGUUCAACCGGCGCUCAGGCAAAAUUACCCCACGCCCAAGCAGUCACGUGAUCGUCUGCGUGAUAACCCGUGACGAUGAGAGGCGACUUUCAUCCGGCGAGCUUCUACACUCCCACUUUAGCCGAAUCAGCUGCGUACUUUCCCACCUCCAGCAGAAUUAUUGGUUUCUGUCCGGAAUAGUGGGCGGGAAUCACGGUCUCUGCAUGGUGUUCCCGUUACCCCCGAGAGUCGUAGGUACACCUCAAGUAAGAUUACUUGCUAUGCAAGCAUGCGAUCGACUUGUUCAUUCAGGAGAAUGACUGGACAAAUUCUUCUAUAUCCGAUGUGAAAUAUGUUAUAUGCAAUGUGUAUGUGUUGCCCGGCGUUGCCAUAACCGUGUGCCCAUAGAUCUGCGAUCUGUGCCACGUCCGCCACGAAGAGAUCACGGGGAUAGGGGCGUUAACGCGUAUGUUUUAGAUGUUUGAAGAGCGUGAGAGAAACUUUUGAGAGAAGGAAAGAGAGAAAGAGGGAGAAAGAGAGAGAGAAAGAGAGAAAGAUAUCAGGAACCGAGGAGACGAAGAAUGCGGAGGUCAAUGUGAAAAGGGAGAAACGAUAAUAGAGUAAUAGAAAUAAUUUACGUACGUGCAAGGAAAUAUUGCGUAUGAUCAAAGAAACGGAUAUUAAUGUUGUCUCGACUCGGGUAACAUUCAUUUCAAUCUAAAAGCUUCAGCUUCUAAUUUAAUUUUGAAUAGAUUGUGUGUAGCUUAAUGUAAUUUGUCUAAAGUCUUGUCGAAUUUCUUGAUAUCGCGAGGAGUCGAAAGAUUCGAAGACUCAAGAGUCCGGGGAUUCUAAGGACUCUCCGCGCACGUCCAGGAGUCGCGGCCAUGCGAAGCUCUCGGAAUUGAGGCGCCUCGAAGUCCAGGGAUCUCGGAACCCAAGAUCUUAGUAUCCAUUGGUCUCGGUAUUCUAACGCAAGUCCGAAUCUAAGUAUCUACGAAGGUCCACGAACGGAUGUCGAGCCUGAGGCGAAUCGACCACAGGGAUCUACCGCAGAAAAAGAGGGAUGUAGGAGUUAUCUUACGUGCAAAGUAUAUACGGAAGGAUAUAAAGAGCGCAAGGAGCGAAUUGCUGUUCAUGCGAAUACGUUAGCCGACGCGUCUUAAACUUUGACAAGUACGUUCAUGUGUGUGCGUCUAUGUGGACUCGCAUUGCUGAUAUAAUCCAGCAACCUACACGUGCUCUGAUUGCUCCAUGUUUAACGGUGGACGAUACUUGGCAAACAAGACCACGACCUUGGUUUUGGUAACGAAAUAUCAGGCAUUUAUAGUAAUAUUCACGAUACAUUGAUGAACUGUUCUCGGUAAUAUUACUUUGGGGUAUUCUUUAUGAUACGUAAGAUGAUAGGGAGGGAGGGAGGGGGAGGGGGUUUGCAAAUAAGUCUUUUUGACUACAGAAAGUUGCGUGCAUUCGGAAGACCUCUCGUCUGACCCAAGCAGAGCCGACGAUAGCGAAGAAUAUGCAGUUCGAGUCACUCGAGAUCUUACGCCUGAUCUCGACCCGAUAUCACUUGAAAACAUUGAAGAAAGAGAGAGAGAGAGAGAGAGGGGUGAGGGAGAAUACGAAGCGCAUUCUGUUCUAACGAAGAGUAAAACUCAGCGUAUCGAGCGCGGACAUCAAAGCGGCCUGGCUCGGUGGAUGGCUCGAAAGAAAACGAAGUUUUCUUGUUUUCCUAUACAAAUUGAUUUACGCUAGCGUAACUAGCUGUCGUUCCUUGUUAAAUAAUCACCGUACUUAUCUAUGUUAAUGCAUCAUGCGGACUGCUCUGUUUCGUGUCUCUUUUUGUGUUUCACACAGCAGGCGGCAGAACGAAAGAGCUAAAGCCCCCCUUGGUAGAUUCACGAAACGGCACACCGACAUCUCGCACUCGUCUAGUCGGCAAGCUGCGUGUGGCCAUAAACCCGUUAUUCGAUCAUCGCCGGGAGAAGUACACGCAUAUCGAGCGGUCAUGGAGAAUUCGUAUAUCGCGCGAAAGAACACUGGAGGUAACGAGAGACGAAGGAUCGCCCGGUGAUUCGCGGCUCUUGUAACCUGAAGUAGGUAGUGCUAGAUGGGGUUUGGGCGGGGGCACAAACAAUGUUCUUAUGAGUCACAGGAUGACACAUCGCCGCCUCGCACGAUGACACAAGGGAAAGCAUGCUCGGAAGACCUUCCGUUUCAAGGCGAAUCGAGAAGACCUCUUACGAAACCGUUAAAGAUUACAGUCGGGAAAGUCAUUUUACACGCUCGGUCAGCUCGGGUUGUAGCCUCGGUGGCCGUGAAACGUCCACGAAAACCCCACGAAGACUUGUCGAACCCAGGAAUCUCGGCUAUGAGGACCGCAAAAUCCGAUGAAUCAUUUCUGAAUUUGAGGAUCUGAACAUCUAAGGACCCAAAAAUUCCAGGCUCUUAUUGUCCCAUCUGGAAUCUGAAUCUCUCAGAAUUCAGGGAUAUAUAUAUAUAUAUCGUGAAUAUCCAGGUGUCUUCCUCUCCGUCCGAGGACGGAAUUUCGCCGGACAAAUAUUCUUCCUUUCAGAUCGCAUUUAAAAAUUUCAUCAUCAAUCGAAGCUGAAUCAUUUCAUCGCGACGACCCGCGGGGCAUUCGGAAGCCUUGUUUUAUGAAGGAGAUAAAUAACAGAGAUAUCCAUUUGUGGAGCAAUUUUGUAUCAAGACGGCUAAACCGUGUCAUACGACAGAUUUAUUCGAAUGAUUAAUGACGAACUGUUGAAAUCUUCACGCUCGAGAAAAGGAAAAUCUUUACUACUGCGUAAGAUCAUUUCUAGAAGGUAGCGAUUUUAAAAGGUAUUGGAGAAAAGAGGUAUAUCAUAUUUUUUAUUCAUUACAAUCUAUAGCUUAAUAUAUAUAUAUAUAGGUUCAUGUCCAUUUUUGGGGGAUGUACGGGAAGUGGGAGGGGGGACAAAACCACUUAAUUUUUUUUUCACAGAAAGCCGUUAUUUGAAACCAGUAUUUGUUGUCGCGUCCGGAAUGUGUUCUAUCCACAGAAUAAGCAAAACUGCUUGACUGUUGAAGACGAUGUGCCUCAAAUGCGGUAUCUCACAUGUCUCUAAAUGGCUACGAAAAGCUAAAAAAAAAACCGGCAGAAAUGGGUGAAAAUGAGAAAAUUUAACGAGAUGGAUCCGGAUCAGCGGAAAAGCCAGCAAGUUUUUGCAAAUUUAAGUUAGCACGAGAUCUUUGGAAAGUAAUCGUGAACAUUCGAGGUCUUCGGAAGCGAGUUAUCAGUGUAUCUCAGAAUACGAUAGAAAGCAGAAUUAGGGGUCAUCGAUCUGUAAGUCUCUCAGAACGUCUAACCGAAGGUCUAACAUCUGAAGUAAGCGUCUUCCGGGGGCAUUGUGACGNGGGGGGGGGGGGGAGGCACUAAUCUUGCAGGACAUUCGAAGCGUUUCAGACAGCCGCGACAUAGUUAAGGUCCGGAACCUUUUAUCUGGGAAUCGCUACCCUCGCCUUAAAAAGCAGAUUCGCGGAAUCCUAGAAGUCGUAUGGCCGAUCGACUUCAAGAGCGUGCGCUUCCUUGCAUCCGCGGCGUUGACGAGGUCGCGGGCAGCCUUUCAAACUUUUCGUUGAUAUCCCCGAUCCGGUGGCCGGCUUCCACAUCAGAGAGAGAAAGAGAAAAAGAGAGAGAGAGGGAGAGAGAGAAAGAGAGGCACGUGAGUUCCACCCGCCUCUCUAUCACCUUGCCCGCUAAUGGAGUGUUUUAGAGCGGCGCGAGACGGCCGUUAAGCUUGCGUCGUGAGUUCUACAAACUGCUCGUCGCUGGUCUUCCAACACCCGCUCGACUGCGCGCGUGCAGUCGUCCUGGUCGUUUGGUCCUCGAUCUACUUUCGUUGGUCUCCUUCGAGCUCCUCAAGAUCCGUUACGGGCGCACGGGUUGUCCACGAGCUGUCUACGUUUGCGGCUUGCUGCCAACUGGAGGAAGAAGGAGAGAGGAAGAGUGCUUUUUCGUCGACCGGGAUUGCGAGGAACUGAUACUUUCCAACAGGGCCAUUGCGGAGAAUGCAGAGUUCCAGCAAAACAGCACUCCUUCCCUUCUAAAAUGAAUUAUUUUUCUAGAUGUCGAUUGCUUUAAGAAUCGUCGGUAUUUCACACGUACUGAAUCACGGACAAGAUAUUGGGUCGGAAAGGAAUAUCAUUUGAGGACCGAAGAAAAGGAUUCAUCGUGGGAUCAUCGCAGGACGUCGCCGCAGAAGAAGACCGUCGUGGGACCGGCGCAGAAGAGGAUCACCGCGGGAUUUCGUUACAGAAGAGAAUCAUUGAACGACUUCGUCACGUUAAAAUUGUCAUGGCACUUUGUCCUAGAAGAGGAUCUUCAUGAUUGGACUUCAUCGUGGAAGAGGAUCAUCGUGGGACGUCAUCGC